AACAUUGAAAUCAAAUGUCUGUGAUUUAAGCAUCCAUUAUAGGAUCAAAAAAGGUAAACUAAGUAGAUGAAAUAUCACCUGAAACUGUCGAAUCAAUAUAUGAUAUCAAUUGCUUAUAUGAUAUCAGUAUUAUUUUGCUUAUAUGAUAUCAAUUGCUUCUUUAAUGUUGCAUAGGCUGAUGAGAGAGCUAUUUUGAAGCAUUUUAACUAGCUAGAAAGGAACGCUGAUGCAUUAAAAGAAGGUGCUUGCGAAUACAGAAUAAACUUAAAUAGGUAGAAGCUAAAGUUUCAUCUCAAAAGGAUGAUGCCUUCGGCACCACCGGCACCAACAUAAUUAUAUUCCACAUACACAGUGAAUAUAAUAUUAAUCUGCUGUACAUUCGAACAAGCCACAUUGUAGAAAAAUUUUGGAUGGUAUUAAAAAUAAUAUAUGCAUCAUAUCAGUACAA
This 448-nucleotide long non-coding RNA is filed under the name Elaeis guineensis (African oil palm). RNAcentral's name for it is "long non-coding RNA (EGUI_LNC046127)". The record is from RNAcentral. Lineage: Eukaryota; Viridiplantae; Streptophyta; Magnoliopsida; Arecales; Arecaceae.